RNAcentral lists this ribosomal RNA (478 nucleotides) under uncultured bacterium. RNAcentral's name for it is "partial 16S ribosomal RNA". It matches the Rfam family "Bacterial small subunit ribosomal RNA", at positions 28 to 507 of the family's 1533-position model. The record is from RNAcentral.
GAUGAACGCUGGCGGCGUGCUUAACACAUGCAAGUCGAACGAGAAGUGAAGACGGAAACCUUCGGGCGGAAGGCUUUAUUUCGAGUGGCGGACGGGUGAGUAACGCGUGGGUAACCUGCCUCAUACAGGGGGAUAACAGUUGGAAACGACUGUUAAUACCGCAUAAGACCACCGCACCGCAUGGUGCGGGGGUAAAAACUCCGGUGGUAUGAGAUGGACCCGCGUUGGAUUAGCCAGUUGGCGGGGUAACGGCCCACCAAAGCGACGAUCGAUAGCCGAUCUGAGAGGAUGGCCGGCCACAUUGAGACUGAGACACGGCCCAAACUCCUACGGGAUGCAGCAGUGGGGAAUAUUGCACAAUGGGGGAAACCCUGAUGCAGCGACGCCGCGUGAGUGAAGAAGUAUUUCGGUAAGUAAAGCUCUAUCAGCAGGGAAGAAAAUGACGGUACCUAAGUAAGAAGCCCCGGCUAACUACGUG